This 393-nucleotide unclassified non-coding RNA is filed under the name soil metagenome. RNAcentral's name for it is "partial contains 5.8S ribosomal RNA, internal transcribed spacer 2, and large subunit ribosomal RNA". The stretch from base 1 to 122 matches the Rfam family "5.8S ribosomal RNA", at positions 35 to 154 of the family's 154-position model. The record is from RNAcentral.
GAUGAAGAACGCAGCGAAAUGCGAUACUUGGUGUGAAUUGCAGAAUCCCGUGAACCAUCGAGUCUUUGAACGCAAGUUGCGCCCGAAGCCAUCAGGUUGAGGGCACGUCUGCCUGGGCGUCACAUAUCGUUGCCCAAUGCCUAUUGCAGUGCAAUAGGAAUUUCUAGGGCGAAUGAUGGCUUCCCGUGAGCGUUGUUGCCUCGCGGUUGGUUGAAAAUCGAGUCCUUGGUAGGGUGUGCCAUGGUAGAUGGUGGUCGAGUUAGAACGAUACCGAUCAUGUGCAUGCUCCCCAAAAUAUGGCCUCUAUGACCCACACGCGUCUUUUGACGCUCAUGACGAGACCUCAGGUCAGGCGGGGCUACCCGCUGAAUUUAAGCAUAUCAAAGCGGAGGA